RNAcentral lists this ribosomal RNA (497 nucleotides) under uncultured bacterium. RNAcentral's name for it is "partial 16S ribosomal RNA". It matches the Rfam family "Bacterial small subunit ribosomal RNA", at positions 28 to 523 of the family's 1533-position model. The record is from RNAcentral.
GACGAACGCUGGCGGCGUGCUUAACACAUGCGAGUCGAACGGAGCACCCUUGAUUGAGGUUUCGGCCAAAUGAUAGGAAUGCUUAGUGGCGGACUGGUGAGUAACGCGUGAGGAACCUGCCUUUCAGAGGGGGACAACAGGUGGAAACGACUGCUAAUAACGCAUGACGCAUUUUGCUCGCAUGGUCGAAAUGCCAAAGAUUUAUCGCUGAAAGGUGGCCUCGCGUCUGAUUAGCUAGUUGGUGAGGGAACGGCCCACCAAGGCGACGAUCAGUAGACGGACCGAGAGGUUGACCGGCCACAUUGGGACUGAGAUACGGCCCAGACUCCUACGGGAGGCAGCAGUGGGGAAUAUUGGGCAAUGGGCGCAAGCCUGACCCAGCAACGCCGCGUGAAGGAAGAAGGCUUUCGGGUUGUAAACUUCUUUUAAGUGGGAAGAGUAGAAGACGGUACCACUUGAAUAAGCCACGGCUAACUACGUGCCAGCAGCCGCGGUAA